GACGAACGCUGGCGGCGUGCUUAACACAUGCAAGUCGAACGGUGAUGCAGAGCUUGCUCUGCGGAUCAGUGGCGAACGGGUGAGUAACACGUGAGUAACCUGCCCUUGACUCUGGGAUAAGCGUUGGAAACGACGUCUAAUACCGGAUACGACCCGUGGAGGCAUCUCCUGCGGGUGGAAAGAAUUUUGGUUGAGGAUGGACUCGCGGCCUAUCAGCUUGUUGGUGAGGUAAUGGCUCACCAAGGCGACGACGGGUAGCCGGCCUGAGAGGGUGACCGGCCACACUGGGACUGAGACACGGCCCAGACUCCUACGGGAGGCAGCAGUGGGGAAUAUUGCACAAUGGGCGAAAGCCUGAUGCAGCAACGCCGCGUGAGGGAUGACGGCCUUCGGGUUGUAAACCUCUUUUGGCAGGGAAGAAGCGAAAGUGACGGUACCUGCAGAAAAAGCACCGGCUAACUACGUGCCAGCAGCCGCGGUAAUACGUAGGGUGCAAGCGUUGUCCGGAAUUAUUGGGCGUAAAGAGCUCGUAAGCGGUUUGUCGCGUCUGCUGUGAAAACGCGAGGCUCAACCUCGCGCCUGCAGUGGGUACGGGCAGACUAGAGUGCGGUAGGGGAGAUUGGAAUUCCUGGUGUAGCGGUGGAAUGCGCAGAUAUCAGGAGGAACACCGAUGGCGAAGGCAGAUCUCUGGGCCGUUACUGACGCUGAGGAGCGAAAGCGUGGGGAGCGAACAGGAUUAGAUACCCUGGUAGUCCACGCCGUAAACGUUGGGAACUAGAUGUGGGGUCCAUUCCACGGAUUCCGUGUCGCAGCUAACGCAUUAAGUUCCCCGCCUGGGGAGUACGGCCGCAAGGCUAAAACUCAAAGGAAUUGACGGGGGCCCGCACAAGCGGCGGAGCAUGCGGAUUAAUUCGAUGCAACGCGAAGAACCUUACCAAGGCUUGACAUGCACCUGAAAAGGCUGGAAACAGUCUCCUCGCAAGACAGGUGCACAGGUGGUGCAUGGUUGUCGUCAGCUCGUGUCGUGAGAUGUUGGGUUAAGUCCCGCAACGAGCGCAACCCUCGUUCUAUGUUGCCAGCGCGUAAUGGCGGGAACUCAUAGGAGACUGCCGGGGUCAACUCGGAGGAAGGUGGGGAUGACGUCAAAUCAUCAUGCCCCUUAUGUCUUGGGCUUCACGCAUGCUACAAUGGCCGGUACAAAGGGCUGCAAUACCGUAAGGUGGAGCGAAUCCCAAAAAGCCGGUCUCAGUUCGGAUUGAGGUCUGCAACUCGACCUCAUGAAGUCGGAGUCGCUAGUAAUCGCAGAUCAGCAACGCUGCGGUGAAUACGUUCCCGGGCCU
Molecule: ribosomal RNA, 1340 nt
Filed under: uncultured bacterium
Lineage: Bacteria
Description: bacterial SSU rRNA
Rfam family: Bacterial small subunit ribosomal RNA
Source: RNAcentral